RNAcentral lists this small nuclear RNA (185 nucleotides) under Dasypus novemcinctus (nine-banded armadillo). RNAcentral describes it as "U2 spliceosomal RNA (ENSDNOG00000028751.1)". It matches the Rfam family "U2 spliceosomal RNA". Rfam says of the family: U2 is a small nuclear RNA (snRNA) component of the spliceosome (involved in pre-mRNA splicing). Complementary binding between U2 snRNA (in an area lying towards the 5' end but 3' to hairpin I) and the branchpoint sequence (BPS) of the intron results the bulging out of an unpaired adenosine, on the BPS, which initiates a nucleophilic attack at the intronic 5' splice site, thus starting the first of two transesterification reactions that mediate splicing. Lineage: Eukaryota; Metazoa; Chordata; Mammalia; Cingulata; Dasypodidae. The record is from RNAcentral.
AUCGCUACUCAGCCUUUUUGCUAAGAUCAAGUGUAAUAUCUGCCCCUAGUUGAAUAUCUGGUGUCCUCUCUCCAAGGAUAGUACAUUAACUUGGUUUUUGGAGCAGGGAGAUGAAAUAGGAGCUUGCUCCGUCCACUCCACAUAUCACCCUGGUAUUGAGUAUGUCCAGGAAUGGUUCACUCCCU